This 202-nucleotide ribosomal RNA is filed under the name Alexandrium tamarense. RNAcentral's name for it is "partial Bacterial large subunit ribosomal RNA". It matches the Rfam family "Bacterial large subunit ribosomal RNA", at positions 23 to 229 of the family's 2925-position model. The record is from RNAcentral. Lineage: Eukaryota; Dinophyceae; Gonyaulacales; Pyrocystaceae.
GGCGGAUGCCUUGGCGAUUACAGGCGAUGAAGGACGCGAUAGUCUGCGAAAAUUCUCGGGGAGUUGGCAAAUAAACUUUGAUCCGGGAGUGUCCGAAUGGGGAAACCCACCCUUUUAGGGUAUCCAUCUCUGAAUACAUAGGAGAUGUGAAGCGAACCGAGCGAACUGAAACAUCUAAGUAGCUCGAGGAAAAAAAAAAAAA